This 418-nucleotide ribosomal RNA is filed under the name uncultured eukaryote. Its description in RNAcentral is "SSU rRNA". It matches the Rfam family "Eukaryotic small subunit ribosomal RNA", at positions 592 to 1016 of the family's 1831-position model. The record is from RNAcentral.
CAAUAGCGUAUAUUAAAGUUGUUGCGGUUAAAAAGCUCGUAGUUGGAUUUCUGCUGAGGACGACCGGUCCGCCCUCUGGGUGAGUAUCUGGCUUGGCCUUGGCAUCUUCUUGGAGAACGUAGCUGCACUUGACUGUGUGGUGCGGUAUCCAGGACUUUACUUGAGGAAAUUAGAGUGUUUCAAGCAGGCACACGCCUUGAAUACAUUAGCAUGGAAUAAUGGAAUAGGACCUCGGUUCUAUUUUGUUGGUUUUCGGAACUUGAGGUAAUGAUUAAGAGGGACAGACGGGGCAUUCGUAUUACGGUGUUAGAGGUGAAAUUCUUGGAUUUAUUAAAGACGGACUACUGCGAAAGCAUUUGCCAAGGAUGUUUUCAUUGAUCAAGAACGAAAGUUAGGGGAUCGAAGACGAUUAGAUACC